This 472-nucleotide ribosomal RNA is filed under the name uncultured bacterium. Its description in RNAcentral is "partial 16S ribosomal RNA". It matches the Rfam family "Bacterial small subunit ribosomal RNA", at positions 28 to 523 of the family's 1533-position model. The record is from RNAcentral.
GACGAACGCUGGCGGCGUGCUUAACACAUGCAAGUCGAGCGAGAAACCUUCGGGUUUCUAGCGGCGGACGGGUGAGUAACACGUGGGUAACCUGCCUCAAAGAGGGGGAUAGCCUUCCGAAAGGAAGAUUAAUACCGCAUAAUAUUACAGUUUCGCAUGAAGCAGUAAUUAAAGGAGUAAUCCGCUUUGAGAUGGACCCGCGGCGCAUUAGCUAGUUGGAGAGGUAACGGCUCACCAAGGCAACGAUGCGUAGCCGACCUGAGAGGGUGAUCGGACACAUUGGAACUGAGACACGGUCCAGACUCCUACGGGAGGCAGCAGUGGGGAAUAUUGCACAAUGGGCGAAAGCCUGAUGCAGCAACGCCGCGUGAGUGAUGAAGGUCUUCGGAUUGUAAAGCUCUGUCUUUUGGGACGAUAAUGACGGUACCAAAGGAGGAAGCCACGGCUAACUACGUGCCAGCCGCCGCAGUAA